RNAcentral lists this ribosomal RNA (253 nucleotides) under uncultured bacterium. Its description in RNAcentral is "partial 16S ribosomal RNA". It matches the Rfam family "Bacterial small subunit ribosomal RNA", at positions 524 to 776 of the family's 1533-position model. The record is from RNAcentral.
UACGUAGGUGGCAAGCGUUGUCCGGAUUUACUGGGCGUAAAGCGCGCGCAGGCGGUUCGGUACGUCCGGCGUGAAAGCUCCCGGCUCAACUGGGAGAGGGCGUUGGAUACGGUCGAACUGGAGGGCGGUAGAGGUCGGUGGAAUUCCCGGUGUAGUGGUGAAAUGCGUAGAGAUCGGGAGGAACACCCGUGGCGAAGGCGGCCGACUGGGCCGACCCUGACGCUGAGGCGCGAAAGCGUGGGGAGCGAGCAGG